CAGUCUGCGUGGAGCCGACCUUGAAAUACCACCCUUUAAUGUUUGAUGUUCUAACGUGGACCCGUGAUCCGGGUUGCGGACAGUGUCUGGUGGGUAGUUUGACUGGGGCGGUCUCCUCCUAAAGAGUAACGGAGGAGCACGAAGGUUGGCUAAUCCUGGUCGGACAUCAGGAGGUUAGUGCAAUGGCAUAAGCCAGCUUGACUGCGAGCGUGACGGCGCGAGCAGGUGCGAAAGCAGGUCAUAGUGAUCCGGUGGUUCUGAAUGGAAGGGCCAUCGCUCAACGGAUAAAAGGUACUCCGGGGAUAACAGGCUGAUACCGCCCAAGAGUUCAUAUCGACGGCGGUGUUUGGCACCUCGAUGUCGGCUCAUCACAUCCUGGGGCUGAAGUAGGUCCCAAGGGUAUGGCUGUUCGCCAUUUAAAGUGGUACGCGAGCUGGGUUUAGAACGUCGUGAGACAGUUCGGUCCCUAUCUGCCGUGGGCGCUGGAGAACUGAGGGGGGCUGCUCCUAGUACGAGAGGACCGGAGUGGACGCAUCACUGGUGUUCGGGUUGUCAUGCCAAUGGCACUGCCCGGUAGCUAAAUGCGGAAGAGAUAAGUGCUGAAAGCAUCUAAGCACGAAACUUGCCCCGAGAUGAGUUCUCCCUGAGACUUUAGGUCUCCUGAAGGAACGUUGAAGACGACGACGUUGAUAGGCCGGGUGUGUAAGCGCAGCGAUGCGUUGAGCUAACCGGUACUAAUGAACCGUGAGGCUUAACCUU
RNAcentral lists this ribosomal RNA (759 nucleotides) under Salmonella enterica. RNAcentral describes it as "partial 23S ribosomal RNA". It matches the Rfam family "Bacterial large subunit ribosomal RNA", at positions 2172 to 2925 of the family's 2925-position model. Lineage: Bacteria; Pseudomonadati; Pseudomonadota; Gammaproteobacteria; Enterobacterales; Enterobacteriaceae. The record is from RNAcentral.